GCCACUGUGGCGUAACGGCAGCCGCGCUAGGCUUAGAACCUAGUAUCCGAAAGGGUGUGUGGGUUCGAAUCCCUCCAGUGGUACCA
RNAcentral lists this transfer RNA (86 nucleotides) under marine sediment metagenome. RNAcentral describes it as "tRNA-Leu". It matches the Rfam family "tRNA". Rfam says of the family: Transfer RNA (tRNA) molecules are approximately 80 nucleotides in length. Their secondary structure includes four short double-helical elements and three loops (D, anti-codon, and T loops). The record is from RNAcentral.